UACGUAGGGUGCAAGCGUUAUCCGGAAUUAUUGGGCGUAAAGAGCUCGUAGGCGGUUUGUCGCGUCUGCUGUGAAAACUGGGGGCUCAACUCCCAGCCUGCAGUGGGUACGGGCAGACUAGAGUGCGGUAGGGGAGAUUGGAAUUCCUGGUGUAGCGGUGAAAUGCGCAGAUAUCAGGAGGAACACCGGUGGCGAAGGCGGGUCUCUGGUCCGGUUCUGACGCUGAGGCGCGAAAGCGUGGGGAGCAAACAGG
Molecule: ribosomal RNA, 253 nt
Filed under: uncultured bacterium
Lineage: Bacteria
Description: partial 16S ribosomal RNA
Rfam family: Bacterial small subunit ribosomal RNA
Source: RNAcentral